CCGCAGUGAAAGACUGCAAUUCCAUUCCGCCAAAAACAUACUGGUGGGACUGGAUUUGUAUCCGAGGACAUAGCUUUGAAGUGUCGUGGAAAUAUUUUCAAGGGAAGAGGUGUGAUUGCUUCUGCUUUUAAGCUCCCUCCUCAUACAAUUCAUAUUCGACCGUCGAUGAUCAAGGUUGAAAAGGACCCGAAGCUUUCAAAUAUCAGGACCGUUGAUGCACUUGAAAUAGUACAAACAAGUUUUGGUGAAUCAUGGUGAGAAGGAUGGUUUGACUGCAGCCAGAAUGAUCUUAACUGGGAUUCCUCUGGACGAAACAUACCUACAGAAUCGUCUGUCCAUCCCGAUGAACGAUGAAAAGAAGAGUUUGAAAGGAGGAAGGAUUCAUAUUCCAGAUUCUUACUAUCUAAUGGGGACAGCCGAUCCAACAGGAAUUCUUAAAAGUGAUGAAGUUUGUAUUAUCCUGUCGUUUUGGUACAUGCACCAAUAAAGGAUAAUAACCAAAAUAAAGAUUACAGCAUCAGUGGACUUUAUGGAUUUUGUUUGAAUGGCUUUCAUCUGUGGCACCUGCAAUACGCUCACAGAAUCUGAUUUCUCUGUAAACACAGAGGAAACUUAGUAAUUAACUGCUCUCUACGAGACCAAGCUAAAUCUGGCAAAGCAUGCGACUACUAUAUAAAACAAAUACAACUUUGCUAUUAGGAACUGUGCA
Eucalyptus grandis is the source of this 709-nucleotide RNA transcript. It is a transcript of the gene named probable RNA-dependent RNA polymerase 5, with no coding region annotated. The transcript has 4 exons. Lineage: Eukaryota; Viridiplantae; Streptophyta; Magnoliopsida; Myrtales; Myrtaceae. The record is from RefSeq and is a predicted model, not a curated record.